AACGCACCUUGCGCCCUUUGGCCAUUCCAAAGGGCAUGCCUGUUUGAGUAUCAUGAACACCUCAACUCUCAUGGCUUGCUGUGAUGAGCUUGGACUUUGGGGGUCUUGCUGGCCUAUGGUCAGCUCCUCUAAAAUGGAUCAGCUUGCCAGUGUUUGGUGGCAUCACAGGUGUGAUAACUAUCUGCGCUUGUGGUUUUCCAUCAGAUAACCUUCAGUGAUGGAGGUUCGCUGGAGCUCACAAAUGUCUCUUAAGUGAGGACACCUCUUUGAAUGUUUGAUCUCAAAUCAGGUAGGACUACCCGCUGAACUUAA
This 312-nucleotide unclassified non-coding RNA is filed under the name uncultured Tomentella. RNAcentral's name for it is "sequence contains ITS2". Lineage: Eukaryota; Fungi; Basidiomycota; Agaricomycetes; Thelephorales; Thelephoraceae. The record is from RNAcentral.